AGGUGGUGAUGCCCUUUUUGUUCAGUGUAGCAUAGCUCUGUAUGGAGUGCGAUUUUUGGAGGGGAGAAGAAUGCAUGAGAGGAAAGCCCCGAAAGGAACACCGUGAGCUUUAAUUCUAGAUUUUAAUACUCACGAUUUGCUUGCUGGGCCGGAAAGUGUAGUGCAGCACCUCGUUCCCGGAGCUGCUCAUCAGCCCGAUGCUGGACAGACCUUCCGCCGCCCCCAUGCCCACGUCACUGGCGCCCUUCGUGAGCUCCGUUUCCCGGAGGUAAUCGCGCUGCAUCAGGCGAUUCGAGGGGCUUGCAAAUCCUGGUGGGGACACCAGGCUCUUCAGCGGACGUUUUUCUGCAAAUGCGUUAAUUAAGGAAACUGAAUGAAUAACUGAUGAUGAGUUGCAACGAAGGUGAUGGUACUCUAAUAGAUUUAAUUUAAAUAUUGUUUGGUUGACAAGAAAUUCAAUUGCAAUAUAUAGUGAAUUUUAUUUUAAUUGUUUACUUAAGAGCUUAUCAUUCUCGUGGAGAUUCAGCAAGCAGUGAUGGGUACUCACCAUACUGAUUUGGUAUAACAUCGGGAUCGGUGUCGUCUAUAUCGGCCUGAUCGGCCAUGGGACUGUGCCGGUUCCUUGCAUUUGAGCGGAGUGUAUCGCCUGGCAUGGCCACCAGGCCAAUGGGCGAGCUGCCCUUCAUCCCGCCAUCGAGGCCCACUCCCACGCCUCCACCGCCCACAUCCCCGAGAGCGCCGCAGUCGACCGCGUUGCGACCAUCACAGUUGAGGGGCAGGAGGCUGUGGUGCGGCUGGUGGUUGCCGGAUCCGUCCGUCUGAACGCCCGGAUGCAACGGGUCCAGCUGGCAGUCCGCCGGAAUCGUGAGCUGCGUGUGCUUGGCCACCUUCAGAUUGCUGUCGCUGCGCCUGCAAUUUAAAUGGGGCCAUUAGAGCAAAGCCGCAGCCAUUAGCCAUUAGCUUGGUUUUGGUGUCCGUACCGAUUGGAAAACCUCCGGUAGAUGGCUGCCAGCAUGAUGCAGAAGAUGGCGAACAGCAGGCCGCAGAAAAGGGUCAGACCCGCCAGGAAUGGGGAGAGGGGCAUCGAGAGGCCGGUCGAGGCACCUGCGAAAUGCCGCAAUUAAAUUAUUACCACAUAAUUCCCAAUUACUUGGGUUCUUGGGCCCCAACCGCAACUCACCUGUGAACUUGGCCACGCCCUUGAAGUUGAUGUCGUCGAUUAUGGUGGGCUCCGAACGACCUUUGGCAUUUACGGCGAAUAUCACCAUGCGAUAGGUGGCCGCCUGGUCUAGGUUGUCUAUCACAAAGGUCACCGGUGUAUGCUAAAUAAUUUCGGGUAGAAGAAAAACCAACAAAACAAAAAUUAUAAUUACUUUCAGAAGAAGUUUAAAAACGCAACAAUGAUUAUAAAUUUCCCUGAAUUUCCCCUCCUAUUUACUCGCACUUUAAUGUUUAGUGAACUUACAAAACACAGCAUCCAAAUUCGGUAUAAAAAAAGCGUCCUCUAAAGGACCUUUGCAUUCUAUGGAUAGAAAAACAUCUGACCACUAGGAAUAUAUUUAAAUGAUGCUAAUAAUUUACUGCAAGCCUAAUCCACAUUAGCUUUUAAUCUCCCAAAAUCCAACAAAAUAAUUUAUUUACGGAGUUACAAAUUAUAUUAUUUUUUGGCAACUUAAAAAUAUAAGCACAGAGCCCCAAAGUAUACAAUAUUUCCAUCCGCUUAUCUCCUGCUGUUCUGAACACUGCGAGGCAAUUAAUUACUUUAAACCCCCAUUGAUUAGAGGAAGUCGCCGAUAAAGUUGUUUAAUGGGUUCGCUGGGUAAUUAAGAUUCCCGUGCUUAUUAACCCAAUUCUGAAGCUUACCGAAACCGUGAUGUUCCUGGCCAGACGCAACGUGUUCAGUUCGACCAGCUCCAGCAUGAAUCCCUGCGGAAGACCUCCGUCGAAUCCCUCCAGGCAGUCGACUUGCAGCGAGUCCACCGACUGAUUGGUCACCGAGCAGUUCUGCAGUGGAAACGGCCGACCUGCGGAUAGAGUUACGUCCACCCCGAUUAACUGGGAUAAUGCUGAUGAUGAUGAUGAUGGUGCUGUUGGGUGCUUACCGGCUGCCACAAUUUGAAACACGCAGGGACUCUUCUGCGUGCCAAUGGAGUUCUUGGCCCAGCAUGAAAUCGUGCCGUAAUCGAGGUCCGUGCUGGGUGUGUAGUUUAAUCGCGACAUGCCGGUCUUAAAGGAUAUAGAUAGAUACACAGGUAGUUAGCACUUUCAGAGUGGCUGUCCUUCAGACAAUCCUACCUCGCUGGAGUGCAGGCGAGCUGGCAGCUCAGUCUGCUCGCCGGACGAAUUGAAGGUCCACUGGAAGGAGUCCGCCGGCGGCGAGGAGUCCACCUCACACUUCAGGGGCAGGGUCUCGUGCUUCAGAGCGCCCAGCAGCUCCUCGUGGUCCGUGGCACAAAUCGGGGCAUCUAUCGGAGUCAAGUGGGAAAUUAGAGCGCUUAUUGAAAUAUUUAACGGCCAUCAAAAGGAUCGAACGACAUGACAAUGCAGCUUAACAAUGCACUCAAAACAUUGGGGGGCAAUUAAAAAGGGAAAAUAUAAAAAUAAUUUGAUCUAUAAGCGAAUCAAAUCUGUUUUUAAAUAAUUAGUGUUUUCGUAAGCGACAUAUUAUCCGAUCUGAUUGUUACAAUAAUAGAUACUUUCUUCUUGA
Drosophila simulans is the source of this 2707-nucleotide long non-coding RNA. RefSeq lists it as uncharacterized. Lineage: Eukaryota; Metazoa; Arthropoda; Insecta; Diptera; Drosophilidae. The record is from RefSeq and is a predicted model, not a curated record. The transcript is spliced from 2 exons.